RNAcentral lists this ribosomal RNA (253 nucleotides) under uncultured bacterium. Its description in RNAcentral is "partial 16S ribosomal RNA". It matches the Rfam family "Bacterial small subunit ribosomal RNA", at positions 524 to 776 of the family's 1533-position model. The record is from RNAcentral.
UACAGAGGGUGCAAGCGUUGUUCGGAAUUAUUGGGCGUAAAGAGCGUGUAGGCGGCCAGGCAGGUCCGUUGUGAAAACUCGAGGCUCAACCUCGAGACGUCGAUGGAAACCGUCUGGCUAGAGUCCGGAAGAGGAGAGUGGAAUUCCUGGUGUAGCGGUGAAAUGCGCAGAUAUCAGGAAGAACACCUAUGGCGAAGGCAGCUCUCUGGGACGGUACUGACGCUGAGGAGCGAAAGCGUGGGGAGCAAACAGG